This 72-nucleotide transfer RNA is filed under the name Camelus bactrianus (Bactrian camel). It matches the Rfam family "tRNA". From Rfam's summary of the family: Transfer RNA (tRNA) molecules are approximately 80 nucleotides in length. Lineage: Eukaryota; Metazoa; Chordata; Mammalia; Artiodactyla; Camelidae. The record is from Rfam by way of RNAcentral. RNAcentral also lists the same sequence under 2 other names.
UGAGGUAUAGCUCAGUGGUAGAGUGCUUGCUCAGUAUGCACAGGGUCCUGGGUUCAAUCCUCAGCACCUCCA